GCACGGUUAUGGGCCAGGAACGCUCACUGGGCAAUGAAUACAUUGUCACCGAACUUGCCGUAUGUGGGGGCUACUCUGUCAAGGUGAAGGCCCCAGGCAGGCCCCCGAGCAGUCUGAGAAGCCUUAUGUGGGGUUCCCCAAAGGAAUUUUCACGGCGCACUCCACAGCCAGAAGUAAGCAUCUUCUUACUUAGCAAAACAAAAGUUGAUGGACACAGACAGAGAGUCCCACACUGGUGUACCCGUGGUACAAAGAUGUGAGAUUGGGAACAAAGAAAGAAACAGACCACAAUGGGUGGCAGCACGUACCGAUAUUAAAAGGACCAGCAAAUAGUGCAAAAAUGAAAACCAACCAUCAUUGAGAACAGCCCUACACAGGUCAGGGAAGCAUCAGUGACUUUAUGAAAUCUUCUCCCUAUUUGCACAAUUCUUGCAAGUAAUCCAGAAAUCCGGGCCAGUAUGAAUCAUCAAUCUUCACUUCAUGAGAAGAAGCAUCUCUCCAAGGCCGAGAGCAUAGACAUGACUAUAGAACACAGUGGAACUCAGGACAGAAAAUCACCACAGUGUUGAAGGAAGGAGAUCUCUGCCGCUUUUCCAUCUGGGGAAAUACUGACGGAGUUGUGGAGGGGUUCUCUUGGUGCACCGAGUACAUUCUGUAAUGUCUGUGGAAAGAGCGUGGCUGCGUGUCUCUAUGUGUUUUGCAGUCAUUCCUGUCUUCCGGUCUCAAGGACAUAAGCACAGUCAUUUAGUUAACUACCGGAGCCUCGGACUCCCUUUUCUUUGGUAAACACUGCUGUGAGGUCUUUCUGCUUCCUUUUUGCAGCCAUAGUAACCGUUGUUGGGUAAUCCAGGGUUGCUAGACUCCUCAACCGGAGGGAGAUUUUUUUUUAAAACCUAAUGUCAUAUCCAGGCAGGACAAACAAGAAAGGUCCUUUUAACCACACUGAUCUCCUUUACAGCUAUGGUGUUUUAGAAGAAAUUUAUAUGGUCUAAUAUGCCUCUUCCUACUACAUGGGAAAGUGUAAUUCACACACAGAUAUCGGUCUCAAUUCUGAGAAUAAGUGGAAAAAUAAUGAUUGGAGCUAUUACACAUAAAAUGCUUAUGAGGCCAGGAUCCAGUUAAUCCUCACACCUGCCUUAAAGUGGGUACUAACAUGAUGGCCAUUUUACAGAGGACAGAGUUGACGUUUAGCAGUUUGAGCCCCGCGUCAAAGCUGUGUAUCGGCCAAGCUGAGGUUGGGGUUUGAACCCACAGCAGAUGAUUCCAGGCUAGAGUCGGGGCUGUAAAAGGAGUUCGCUAGUGCACCUUAGGUCUAGUUGACAUACCGUCUGCCAUUUGUGUGCAUUCCAUUACCAACUAGCUUUCUAGUUCUAGAGAGAACACCAUGGAUAGGUUCUUCAACUCCUCAUUGAGUGAGGUUUUCCCUAGAAAAUACGGCCCUUCAAGAAACAAGUAAAAUCAAGGCAAACUUUCUCUAAUGGGGAGAAAGGGAGGAUUAACUGCCCAAAGAAGGAAAAGUAAAGGGCUACAGGUCCCCCCCAGCUGGAUGUGGUGGCCACAUGUUCCAGCCCGUGUGACAGCAGAGACAGCCCCGGGGCCGUAAGCGGUCCCGGCUCCUCUGAAGAGUGGCCAGGCAUUUGGGACCUGGGACCACCCGGCACAUGUCACCUAUCGAUCUUCAACAGUGAGCAUCUGGAGUCUCAUCACACUCAAACACAGUCUGCUGCUUUAUCAUGACACGAUCUCAGCCACCUUUAUACGUAAGGAGACAAUAUGGAGAAUGAAGGAGGGCAGUCUUCUAAAAAGUUGUAUUUAUUUGUUUGAGGGGCUCUAAUCUCCCAAGUGGACUUUCCCAGAGGCACCCGU
Felis catus (domestic cat) is the source of this 1866-nucleotide long non-coding RNA. RefSeq lists it as uncharacterized. The record is from RefSeq and is a predicted model, not a curated record. NCBI's taxonomy places the organism in Eukaryota, Metazoa, Chordata, Mammalia, Carnivora, Felidae. The transcript has 3 exons.